GAUGAAGAACGUAGUGAAAUGCGAUAAUUAAUGUGAAUUGCAGAAUUCAGUGAAUCAUCGAGUCUUUGAACGCACAUUGCGCCCCCUGGUAUUCCGGGGGGCAUGCCUGUCCGAGCGUCAUUGCUGCCCUCAAGCACGGCUUGUGUGUUGGGCUUCCGUCCCUGGCAACGGGGACGGGCCCAAAAGGCAGUGGCGGCACCAUGUCUGGUCCUCGAGCGUAUGGGGCUUUGUCACCCGCUCCCGUAGGUCCAGCUGGCAGCUAGCCUCGCAACCAAUCUUUUUAACCAGGUUGACAUCGGAUCAGGUAGGGAUACCCGCUGAACUUAAGCAUAUCAAUAAGCGGAGGA
RNAcentral lists this unclassified non-coding RNA (347 nucleotides) under soil metagenome. RNAcentral describes it as "partial contains 5.8S ribosomal RNA, internal transcribed spacer 2, and large subunit ribosomal RNA". The stretch from base 1 to 120 matches the Rfam family "5.8S ribosomal RNA", at positions 35 to 154 of the family's 154-position model. The record is from RNAcentral.